RNAcentral lists this ribosomal RNA (532 nucleotides) under uncultured bacterium. Its description in RNAcentral is "partial 16S ribosomal RNA". It matches the Rfam family "Bacterial small subunit ribosomal RNA", at positions 355 to 879 of the family's 1533-position model. The record is from RNAcentral.
UAGGGAAUCUUCCACAAUGGACGCAAGUCUGAUGGAGCAACGCCGCGUGAGUGAAGAAGGUUUUCGGACCGUAAAGCUCUGUUGUUGGUGAAGAAGGAUAGAGGUAGUAACUGGCCUUUAUUUGACGGUAAUCAACCAGAAAGUCACGGCUAACUACGUGCCAGCAGCCGCGGUAAUCGUAGGUGGCAAGCGUUGUCCGGAUUUAUUGGGCGUAAAGCGAGCGCAGGCGGAAGAAUAAGUCUGAUGUGAAAGCCCUCGGCUUAACCGAGGAAUUGCAUCGGAAACUGUUUUCUUGAGUGCAGAAGAGGAGAGUAGAACUCCAUGUGUAGCGGUGGAAUGCGUAGAUAUAUGGAAGAAUACCAGUGGCGAAGGCGGCUCUCUGGUCUGCAACUGACGCUGAGGCUCGAAAGCAUGGUAGCGAACAGGAUUAGAUACCCUUGGUAGUCCAUGCCGUAAACGAUGAGUGCUAAGUGUUGGGAGGCUUCCGCCUCUCAGUGCUGCAGCUAACGCAUUAACGCACUCCGCCUGGGGG